This 800-nucleotide ribosomal RNA is filed under the name uncultured bacterium. RNAcentral describes it as "bacterial SSU rRNA". It matches the Rfam family "Bacterial small subunit ribosomal RNA", at positions 8 to 821 of the family's 1533-position model. The record is from RNAcentral.
AGAGUUUGAUCCUGGCUCAGGACGAACGCUUGCGACGUGCCUAAGAAAUGCAAGUCGAGCGGGCGAGGGACUUCGGUCCUUAGCUAGCGGCGAACGGUCGCGUAACACGUAGGCAACCUGCCCGAAAGACCGGGACAACAGUUCGAAAGGACUGCUAAUACCGGAUGUGGUCCUCUUCUCGCAUGGGAGGGGGAGUAAAGCGAGCAAUCGGCUUUCGGAGGGGCCUGCGGCCUAUCAGCUAGAUGGUGGGGUAAUGGCCUACCAUGGCGACGACGGGUAGCUGGUCUGAGAGGAUGGUCAGCCGGACUGGGACUGAGAUACGGCCCAGACUCCUACGGGGGGCAGCAAUUAGGAAUCUUGCACAAUGGGCGAAAGCCUGAUGCAGCGACGUCGCGUGGAGGAUGACGGCCUUCGGGUUGUAAACUCCUUUUAACGAGGAAGAAACAAAUGACGGUACUCGUUGAAUAAGCCCCGGCUAACUCCGUGCCAGCAGCCGCGGUAAUACGGAGGGGGCGAGCGUUGUCCGAAUUUACUGGGCGUAAAGCGCGCGUAGGCGGGUUGUUAAGUCCGCUGUGAAAGCCCGAGGCUCAACCUCGGAGGGUCGGUGGAUACUGGCAGCCUUGAAGGGGCUAGGGGGAAGUGGAAUUACUGGUGUAGCGGUGAAAUGCGUAGAUAUCAGUAGGAACACCCGUGGCGAAGGCGGCUUCCUGGAGCCAUCUUGACGCUGAGGCGCGAAAGCUGGGGGAGCGAACGGGAUUAGAUACCCCGGUAGUCCCAGCCCUAAACGAUGGAUACUAGGU